UAAUUAGGAAAAUAAAAUGGUUUUCGUCAGUUUUAGAUCUGUCUUUAUUUAGUAUUAUAAUUUCAUAAUUUAUCUUUGACUUAAGGUACUAGCCAACUCUGGGAGUCGUUGACAUUACUUUUUUCUUGGACCUAUAAAAUGUUAAUUACAUAAUAAAUUCUGCUAAAAUAACACAAUCAUACUAAACUUAUUGUUUUCUAUGUACUUGUUGUUUUGCACUCGUUUUUAGGGUUCCGAACCUCAAAAGGUAAAACGGAACCUUUAUAGGAUCACUUUCUAGUUUUUAUUAGUUUAGUACAAUCAGUCGCACAACUUUUUUGAUUGCAUUAAUUCUACUUAUUUUAUCCAUUUGUCGAUAAAUACUGUAUAGACUUUGAUGAUUUUGUCGUAUAUUUUAUAGAUAAAUAACCCUCUAGUCGAAGGUACUGGAAUAAUAGAUGACGCGGAUUACCUACGUCUUCUAAUUUAAAGGAUGUUAGUGACACUGUAUUGAAAAAAAUAGAGCGUUUACUUGAUUUUACUGAAAAUGUUGCUUUGUGUUUUUGCUUUUCGGAAAUGUUUAAUUAAGAUAAGAGUUUUUUUUUGUGGCGCCGCGAUGUAAACCGAACAUCGGUAGACUACGUACGAAAGGUACCUACGUCAAUACAAUGUUUUUGUACAUUUAUUUAUUUAUUUAAUAAUAAACACACGUAACAGGUUACAGACACAAAUUUUAUGAAAUAAUACACUUUUUGAGGUUCAGACUGUAACCCAACUACACGUAUGCAAGUUAUAUAAUAAUACUAUGGUGAGAAAACACGACGCAAAUUAAAAGAUAUUACAAUAAAAUAUACUUAGCUCCGCAACAACAUGGUAACAAUUACGAUUCAUGGAUCUACGACCCAAUCUACAUUAAUUUUAUUAUAUUUUUUUAAAUCACAACAUGGGAAUAAUUAAAAUAAACACAAAAAAAAAUCAUGAAUUGUCAGGAAAUUCCACUUGAUAUCAACUCAGAAUCAUGUCUGAGAUGAUGAUCAUGGAUGAUUCAGACCAUCCUCCAAAGUUUUAGUUACGGUAUCCAUCCCCCAAAGUUUUUGUUACAGUGUCACUAACACCUUAGUGGUCGACGUUAUUAUCAAAGAUUAACUUGUCGAAGGUCAAUUUUACAAUUAUUUGUUUUUACAAUUUUUUUUUAAAUGAAGUUGUUACGGCUGUGGAGAACAAAUGCCAAGAAAAGUAUUAUUUCAGUAUUUAUAUUGGUUUCAUGAAUUGAUGUAUAACAUGUUACUAUGUGUCUUGGGUUUAUCGACGGGCGCUACACUGUGCAUUCCGCUCUCAAUUUGGGGUCCAAUUUAAAAAUUACCACAUUGUAUCGCCUUUGUAAGUAACUGGGGUUUUAAUUUUAAGCUAAUUUCAAAGGUUUAUUCAGAUGGAUUGGUAAUAAAUUAUUUUUAUGCGAAUGACAUCAAUUUUCUGCUUUUAUUUUUUUAUUUAACUUUUAGCUUUGGUUUUUUUUUGUUUGUAUUUUAGUGCCAAUGCUUCUAUUUGUGUAGAACUUAUGAUAGUGGUUUCAUUAUAGGGUGAUUUGACAAAAGAAUAGAAAAAGAGUACUUAUGUAAAACAGAUAUCAAGAAAAUAUAUUAUUCUGACAGCUGUCAAACAUAUCAUCUUAUUAUGAAAUGUCUAUAGUAGGUACUUUUUAGAAGCGUAGAGCCUGACUAAAAUAAACUGUGAUUAGUCUGAGUCGCUAAACACCGAAAAGGAUGUAAGACAGAAAUAGAAAAUCAAUGGUACCGAUGCUAGCGCAGAAAAGUUCAAUUAAUUUUGGCAGCAAAAAUAGUUCCGUCUCUUUCUUAAAAAAAAUAGAGAUAGAGAAAAAGAGAUAGAGAUAGUUUCGGAUCUGUCUGUCAAAGCACCAUCAAUUUGUAAAAGUUUCAUUUUUGAACUUUGAAAAGACGCACUGUUCGUCAAAAACCCUUUCGUAUGAACACAAUUUUUAUGUGUUACCUCACUAAAAAAAUACUUCUUUAUAUUAUUUAUCACCAAGGCGAGGGUUUUAUUCUAGUCAGGCUCUGUAAUUAAGUUACCCUAAGUAGUGAGAGUUUACAACGAUGUUAACAUAGCCAUUGUACUUAUACCGUGAAUAUAGUUUUGCAGUAAA
Molecule: long non-coding RNA, 2140 nt
Organism: Pectinophora gossypiella (pink bollworm)
Lineage: Eukaryota; Metazoa; Arthropoda; Insecta; Lepidoptera; Gelechiidae
Exons: 2
Source: RefSeq, a predicted model, not a curated record